Non-coding RNA from Durio zibethinus, 2327 nucleotides. Lineage: Eukaryota; Viridiplantae; Streptophyta; Magnoliopsida; Malvales; Malvaceae. The record is from RefSeq and is a predicted model, not a curated record.
UACCAACCUUUUUUAUUUAUAUUUUUCUAAUAAAAAAUUAAAUAAUAUAUUUCUUUUAAAAUCUUGCUAAGAAUAGGAUCCUAGCACAGGCACAACACAACACUUUCUUGUCUUAAUAAUCUAAUCUGAACUCAGCCCUUUUCCUCACAUUAUUGUUAUGUUAUCAUAGAUAGAUUUUUUUUUUUUUUUCAUUUUCUUCAACCUUCAAAAACACAAGCGUAGAUUUUUUUCUUCUCUUUUUCUUCAACCUUCGAAAACACUAGCACUUCAAAUUACUAGGAAAAAAUACACGAGGAAAACGGAGAAUCACAAGCUUACUAUUCUACAUAUACCCCUCACCUAAAGCGGCUUUCAUUUUAGAAUCUGGUCUUGUUCCUACCCUCCCCUUUGAGGGUUCUCUUUCUUACCAAAAGAAAAAUACCUUCGAUUUUUCUUUUCGGUGAAGAAAAGUAUUCACUUUCUUUUGUUUUUUGUUUCCUGGGGUUUUUUAAUUCAUACCCAUUUCAGCAAUUCCAAAGAUUUGCAAUAAAGUUGUGCUUAUGUUAUUUAGAUCUUGGGGAAUUAAAACCCAGGCGCUGGAUUUUGUGAUGCUUUUUAUGUUAAUGGCUGUGGAGAACUUGUUACUCUUUUGAUACGUGAAGAUGGAUUACAAGUUGCAAGUCAGAGUCCAAUCCCACCUUGAACAGAUGGGAUCACUAGAUGAUAGGUCAAUGGGUGAUCUCGAUGAUGAGUGCCUCUAUUCCGCUGAAAUGGAUGCUCAAAAGACACAGUCAACUGAUUCGAAUGAACAAGUAUCGCUUUCUAGUAGUUUGCCUGUUGCUGGUAAUAAAAUGAUAAGGAACGGUGUCUAUAAGAGCAUAAAGACUGUAGUUUUCUCAAAUAAACUCAACUUGCUAAUGCCGUUUGGGCCUCUAGCAAUCCUGGUUCAUAAGAUGACUGCGCAUAACGGGUGGGUCUUCUUUCUAAGUUUACUGGGUAUAACACCUUUGGCAGAGCGUUUGGGUUAUGCUACUGAGCAGUUGGCUUUUUACACUGGACCUACAGUUGGUGGUCUUCUAAAUGCUACAUUUGGGAAUGCAACCGAACUGAUUAUUUCGAUUUAUGCACUGAAAAGUGGAAUGAUACGUGUUGUUCAGUUGUCAUUGUUGGGCUCAAUUUUGUCAAACAUGCUGCUUGUUCUUGGAUGUGCAUUCUUUUGCGGUGGGCUUGUAUAUCCUGGAAAGGAACAGGCUUUUAGUAAGGCCACAGCUGUUGUUAACUCAGGACUGCUGCUAAUGGCAGUCAUGGGCCUCCUGUUCCCAGCAGUCCUCUACUACACACACACUGAACGGCAUGCUGGGAAGUCAGAGUUGGCUCUUUCAAGAUUUAGCAGUUGUAUUAUGCUUCUAGCCUAUGCAGCCUAUCUUGUUUUCCAGUUAAAAAGUCAAAAAGAUCUCUAUGUCCCUAUUGGCGAGGAAGGAAGUCAGAAUGAGCAGAACGCAAAUGAUGAUGAUGAUGAAGCACCAGAGAUCUCCAAAUGGGAAUCAAUCAUUUGGCUUGCAAUCAUGACUGCUUGGAUCUCUAUCCUAUCAGACUACUUGGUGGAUGCCAUGCAGGGUGCAUCUGAGGCAUGGGGUGUGCCAAUUUCAUUUAUUAGUGUUAUCUUGCUUCCUAUUAUUGGCAAUGCUGCAGAGCAUGCAAGUGCUAUUAUGUUUGCCAUGAAAAACAAGCUUGACAUAUCCUUGGGAGUGGCAAUAGGGUCAUCAACUCAGAUUUCUAUGUUUGGGAUUCCUUUUUGUGUUGUUAUUGGGUGGAUGAUGGGGCAGGAAAUGGACUUAAACUUCCAGCUGUUUGAGACGGCAACUCUGUUCAUAACUGUUAUAGUUGUAGCCUUUUUUUCUGCAGGAGGGAACGUCUAACUACUUCAAAGGACUAAUGCUUAUUCUUUGCUAUCUGAUAGUAGCUGCAAGUUUCUUUGUACAUGAAGAUACUUCUUCAAGUGGUGAAAGCAAGCAACCGAAGACGUGAUCAAUGAAGCAGUUGAAUUAAGGGGCGGAAUUUUGAACCUGGAUAGAGAAAAGGCCUUGGAUCCAAAGAACUUUGUCCCACAAGCUGGUGUAAAUAUUUUGUUUCCAGAUAUUCCAUUUUUCCAGCUGCUUAUGCUUGUUCGGUUAAUAUUAUUGAACGAGGGUCUUGUUCCUUAUGUUGUUCUACCUUUCGAUGUGGGAAGAUGGCGAAUUAGAGAGAGACUGUGUAUACAGUAGGGAAGAAAAGGAUUCUUUAAAUUUUGAUCGUGUUACGGAACACUAAUUCUUGUGAACAUCAAGGGACUGCAUGCAAUGAAAUCG